UACGGGGGGGGCAAGCGUUGUUCGGAAUUACUGGGCGUAAAGGGCUCGUAGGCGGCCAACUAAGUCGGAUGUGAAAUCCCCAAGCUUAACUUGGGAACUGCAUCCGAUACUGGAUGGCUUGAAUCCGGGAGAGGGAUGCAGAAUUCCAGGUGUAGCGGUGAAAUGCAUAGAUAUCUGGAGGAAUACCGGUGGCGAAGGCGGCAUCCUGGACCGGCAUUGACGCUGAGGAGCGAAAGCCAGGGGAGCAAACGGG
RNAcentral lists this ribosomal RNA (253 nucleotides) under uncultured bacterium. Its description in RNAcentral is "partial 16S ribosomal RNA". It matches the Rfam family "Bacterial small subunit ribosomal RNA", at positions 524 to 776 of the family's 1533-position model. The record is from RNAcentral.